GCCGGAGUGGUGGAAUAGGUAGACACGCGACACUUAAAAUGUCGUUUCCGUAAGGAAGUACGGGUUCGAUUCCCGUCUCUGGUACUA
Molecule: transfer RNA, 87 nt
Filed under: Hymenobacter arizonensis
Lineage: Bacteria; Pseudomonadati; Bacteroidota; Cytophagia; Cytophagales; Hymenobacteraceae
Description: Siccationidurans arizonensis tRNA_Leu_TAA
Rfam family: tRNA
About the family: Transfer RNA (tRNA) molecules are approximately 80 nucleotides in length.
Source: RNAcentral